ACAGUACAAACUGAGCAGGCGAUGAACCUUCGGGUCAUGGGGCCGGGCCGUGGAUUUGCGGCAGCAGAUGGUAUGCUUGAUUGCACAUCUGUGGGACAGU
This 100-nucleotide non-coding RNA is filed under the name uncultured Butyricicoccus sp. RNAcentral describes it as "NiCo riboswitch". It matches the Rfam family "NiCo (Nickel/Cobalt) riboswitch aptamer". Lineage: Bacteria; Bacillati; Bacillota; Clostridia; Eubacteriales; Butyricicoccaceae. The record is from RNAcentral.